Molecule: ribosomal RNA, 253 nt
Filed under: uncultured bacterium
Lineage: Bacteria
Description: partial 16S ribosomal RNA
Rfam family: Bacterial small subunit ribosomal RNA
Source: RNAcentral
UACAGAGGUCUCAAGCGUUGUCCGGAAUUAUUGGGCGUAAAGAGCUCGUAGGCGGUUUGUUGCGUCGGCUGUGAAAACCUGAGGCUCAACCUCAGGCCUGCAGUCGAUACGAGCAGACUAGAGUGUUGCAGGGGAGACUGGAAUUCCUGGUGUAGCGGUGAAAUGCGCAGAUAUCAGGAGGAACACCGGUGGCGAAGGCGGGUCUCUGGGCAACAACUGACGCUGAGGAGCGAAAGCGUGGGGAGCGAACAGG